This is a long non-coding RNA of Xenopus laevis (African clawed frog), 5047 nucleotides long. RefSeq lists it as uncharacterized. The record is from RefSeq and is a predicted model, not a curated record. The transcript is spliced from 3 exons. NCBI's taxonomy places the organism in Eukaryota, Metazoa, Chordata, Amphibia, Anura, Pipidae.
AUGACUACUAAGUCCUAUGUCUGCUGUGGGGACCAUACAUCAACUAACUGUAUGCAAGAAAACUUGCUCUACAGGAUGUAGGCAAGUUGGGGGGUUUAUCACAGCAUCUUGGCAGUUGGAAAGGUUUCUGUGGGGGCAGGUGAGAGCCCAGGAUAAGAGAACACAGGACAGAGGAAGAGGGAGCUGGGCAGCUGAGAGGAAGAGCUGGAGAAGCCAGAGGAGCCUGGGACAAGACAACAUGUGAAGAAUGCAGCCCAGAGGGGAAGGCAGAGAUGAUGCUGAACUCAAUUCCCCUGCCUUUUUGUUUAUGCUUUGAGUGUAUCCUUUGGUGUUGCAAUGCAUGCUAUUUGGACGCAGUGAUUCGAUCGUUGUCGACGAGCCACAACAGUUACACAAAUACGGUAUGCCUCUGAUUGAUGCAAUGGGGAAAUGGUCUAAAAAGAAACCAUAUAUCUGUGUGAUACGAAGAGGCAUCAUCAAGGUAAUCCUAAAAGCUGCAGAGGUAUAUCUUUGUUACAAAAGCCAUUUCUGGGAAAAUUAUGGAAAUCUCUGAGCUUUUUGGUCCAAAACCCAGCGCAAGCACAGACACUCAUGAAGAGUUAAUGUUCCAGAGUAGUGUCUGUGUAACACAAAAUGCGUGAGGCUACCUCUUUUUGUACAUAAUUGUUCACUUCUAUUAUAAACACCUGUUUUUGAAAUGUCUUGGGUGUCUGCUCUACUUUAAUACGGUUGGAUCUGCUCCCUUAGCUGAAGGCUCAAGGCUGUGCACCUGAGCUUUUUCCAGUAUGUGCUGAGUUUUGAUUUAUUCAUGGACCUUUCCAAGUGUUAUAGGUGUAGUUAACACAUAUUACAUUUAGUGACUGUGCUAUAAGUAGAGUUAUCACCUUUUGUGAAGAGAGGCAUUCCUAUCUCUCUUGUAUUUAUAAAAGGUACAGUUUUAAACACGAGUUCAAUGAAUAAGGCUAGAACAUACCUUAUCGCUAUUGUUUUAAUCACAAAACAUCUAUGGUUCAAAUGAGGCAAACAGGGAAAUACAUUGCAUGUUAUGCACACUAUGAAAGUAAAAAUACGACAAAGGAGACUCCGAAUUGUUGAGCAGCGAAAAUCCUACAUCAGGCAAGAAUGGGACAAACCUCAGCCAUUGGUCUCCUUAGUUCCCAAAUUGUUACAGAGAGUUGUUAAAAUAAAAGGUAAUGCAAUACAGUGGGAAACAUGCCCAGCCCGAAUUUUUAUAAAUGUGUUGCUGGCAUCAAAUUCAAAAUGAGCAUAUUUUUUUCAGAAAACAAUGUCCUUUCUCAGUUUCAAAAUAUGUCUUUGUACUGUUUGCAUUAAAAUAUAAAUGAUCUCAUUUUCAAUGUACAUGUUUCACAGUGUCCUAACUUUUUUGAAAAUGGGUUGUGUAGGUGCAGAAAUAAGAAGAAUGUGUUUCCAUUUUGAGAUGAGAUGGCCUUUAGGUCAACAGGAGAAAAAGCUAGACUUGUCUGACAUUUGUCCUAUGAACACUCAGGAUAGAUGAUCUUUCUGUGCAUAGUUCUUUCUUUAUAUCCCUAGGUCUGGGCAGUAUUUUCUGGAAAUACCCCAUGGUCCUUUUGUGGAAAAAGGGUACAUUCAUGAAGUGCUUCCUAGUGGUCAUUCAAAUUAUUUGCAUUUUUCUUGUGCAGUUUCUCCUGCCUUUUAAUUACUAGGUCUUAAAGAUAUACUGACACCAGAAAUUAAACCUUUUUUACAUCUAUCAUUUUCUUUGCAUGCUAUUAAUAAUUGUGCCAUAAAAGUAUUUGUCCUAUGCUUUUACAUUACCUGUCUGAUCCCCUAUGUUCCUCUGUGAGGAAGCUGCCAUAUUGUGCAGCAGAAGAAACUUUGACAGGUCAGAAGGGACAGUCAGGUUGGCAGGUUGGAACUUUAGAUAACAAUUAUUAACAAAAUGAGCCCUAUCAGUGAAAAAUGAUCAACGUGACCUAUAGGUAGCUUUUAAUGUACAGUAAUAUUUCGAAGAGACUUUUUUUAGUGUCAGUAUCACUUUAAAUCACCCUUACAAGGUAGCCUUUGAAAAAAAACAUCACUGAAGGCCCGAAGCCUCAUGGGUGACCUGUGUUUUGUUUCUGGGGGUUUAGUUAUAGGCUGGAAAAAGGGAAAUUAUUCAAAGACCAAAAAAUAUAGCCCCACAUGUAUUAAAAGGCACUAUGGGAGUUUUGUAAUAUGCUAAUCAACUAUAGCAACCAAUCAGCAUGUAGCAUUUUCUGCUCAAGUGUUUAAAAGCAAACAUCUUAUUGGAUGAUAUGGGUAACUGCACCGUUGCAACCUAUGUGCCCUUUAUUACAUAUGGUGGGUAAGUUGUCUCUGUGCAGUUACCUUUAGCAACCAAUAAGAUUUAUGCUUUUAAACAGGUGACCAUUAAACCUUGCACCUUUUAUUACAAGGGAGCCCUCACCGAGGUGAUAUACGUGAAAUUUUACAUCUUGUCAAUCUGAGAGACGCUGGCACUUUCCAGGCAAAAGAAAUAUAUUCUAAAGAACUUUUAUGACUCUACCAAGGAGAUGUAAUGAGCUGCCUUGGAGAUUUAAACAAUAGGCCUGUUGAACGAGUACAAAAGAUAUAAAUGGUAAAAAAACAGUUAUAAUAAAUUCACACCUAAUCAUUUGAGACCAGAGGAAAGUGUUGGAAGAAAAAUCCAAUAUCCUGCUUCUUUCUUCUGUAAUCUGAAUGCUACCUGUCUAUAAAGGCACUUGAAAUAGAUUUUGGCGUAAAGUAAUCUGUUUAAUCUAAAUGUUCUCUAUUCCUGCCGUGUUUCAUUACCUCAAUAUCUGCAAGCGUAACCAAAAGCUUAUAAAGAAAGCUAUGGUUCUUAUAGAAGAUCAAAUGCUUGCUGCCCAAUAUCUGGACUUACUGUAAGCAAAAUGGUUAAUCUGUGCUUAUCUACUCAUAGCAGGACGUCGCCUGCCAUUUCUGUACAGGUACAGUAUAUACGUUUACUAGCAUUUGGGAGAUAGUUUAGGUCAGUUAAUUAAACUGUGUCAGCACACAGAAGUAUGGGAAAUAAAAUAAUAGGCUUUUGAAACGAUUUAUUGCUGGCUAUUGCAAACAUCUUCCCUGUAUGCAACUGCAAGUACAGUUGCAGUCCCAGCCUCACUGCAGUUGCAGGGGGCAAGGCUCUUGAUGCAAUAACUUCCGAUUUGGAACGCAGGCAUAAUUGUGUUCAUUUUGGUGAAUUGGACACAGCUGCAUCAAGAGCAUUGCCACUUUGAGACUGGAAAUUCUGCCAAAAACACACUGCAUUUAGGGAUUAAAACAUGGCAUUUUACUCACUGCACUUUUGAAUUUAAAUGAGCCCUUGUAAAUUUUCUGUAAAAGCGGAGGCUGGGACCUUUCCAAAGGCAUACCCAUUUAUUAUGAAUUCAUUUCACCACAUUAUGAAGUCCUGGAGCACGUCUGUUACCCACUAUAUUUAUGCUAUUGCUACAUUAUGAAAGCUUGUUGUUGCAAAUAUUAGUCAUUAAAGUGAGAGACGUGCCAUCAAAUUCAAAAAUCUGCAUACAAUACUAAUAAUUACACUUCCAUUUUUUCCAGAAGACGACUAAUACAAUACCACCAAUAAAGUGAUUCACGACUGCAACAGAAAACAGGAGGCUUCCAAAGUGGAUAUUUGUUUUCGACAAAAAAUAAUUACAAAGACCUGUAUACUUUCUUGUAUUAAAAAGUACAUUCAGUUAAUUUUUGGCACUUAUAAAGAUUAUAGCACUUUUGUUCCCUUCAUAAGUGAUGCCCUAUUACAUGUUGUUGAGCUCUUACCUGUCAAACAUCAAUAAAGAGCAGGGUUUUUCCCGAUUUGGCUGAAAUAAUGAAACCUUUUUGGAAGUUCAAUAUGUCUUGAGGGAGUUGCUUAUAAAACACAGGGUAAGGUGCAAAGUAACAAAAAAACAGGUACAAACAGAUAUGUGUUUUGUACUUUGAACCUGAAAUUUUAGACCUUUCCUUGUCUGCAUUUGUUUGUCGUACCGCAAAGCAAAACAAUUUAGAGGUCAGUUACCAUUCCCUCAAUAAAAAGCUUCUGAAUAAGGGUGAAGUUAGUGUUGGGAGAUGGAUGCCUACCUGCCUCCAUCACCCCGUUGUGUAUUGCACUUUUCCACUGCCCAGGAGGUCGAAAAUUACCUCUUAUAUGUUCCUACAAUACAUUCAGCAGCAAUGCAUACAGAAGGGGAGAAAGGGCAGCACUUGGAAUGCCCAUAGCUUGUGUUUCACAUAUAACUUGCAAGCUGGGGAGCACUGGAGUACACAAACAUCUGGGGAGCUCUGUACUUACUGUCUGCUGCUUGAGCCAGAUUCUUGCACCUGUGAGUAGUACACAGGGGUGAUCCUGGCCCCUCUGCCGCCUGAGGCAGCAGCAGUUGCUGCUGCCCCCCCCUCCCCCAGAAAUUCGCUCUUAAAGUACAAGGAGCAGCAUUUUUGCUGCCCCUGGUACCUAGUGGGGCGCUGCCGCCUGAGGCGACAGCCUCAACUCGCCUCAUUGGCGAAGCAUCCCUGGUAGUACAUGCGCCUACAAGUAACAGUUUUGCGCUCUUUAGAACUUUGGUACUUGCAUCGUUGGUAAAGUUAACACUGCUGACUGCUCAUUUUUUUGUAUAUAUAACUAAUCUAGUUUGUCUCAGUUGUAAGAAAACAUUAAGUUAGAAAACGUACACUUUCAUAGAAAUACUUUUCUCUUUCGUUAAAUUAAAUCUCCAAAGCCUGCUAGCAUUUUUGGUGCUUAUAUGUAAAUGUCAGUAGGGAUUUGAGAUUAAAAGCUGUAUUUUUCUACAAGUCAAUGAAGAUCUCUAAAGGAUAAAGAAACCUUUAAAUAGAAAUUCCUUCAGCACCACAGAAACAGUAUUCCCUGGGCUCGGUUUACCUGCCCAUUUUCUUUUAUCAUGCUACUGAUACAACCCAAAUACAGUCUUCUAUCAUGCAAAGUAAUUCUUCCCUUAAUAACUUUUAGGACUAAAACACUGCUUAGGUCAUAUAAAUUGUACAGAUAACAUUUUUUUUGUGAAUGUGAAAUUUAAUAAAAUUUGCU